GAUGAACGCUGGCGGCGUGCCUAAUACAUGCAAGUCGAGCGAACGGACGAGAAGCUUGCUUCUCUGAUGUUAGCGGCGGACGGGUGAGUAACACGUGGAUAACCUACCUAUAAGACUGGGAUAACUUCGGGAAACCGGAGCUAAUACCGGAUAAUAUUUUGAACCGCAUGGUUCAAAAGUGAAAGACGGUCUUGCUGUCACUUAUAGAUGGAUCCGCGCUGCAUUAGCCAGUUGGUAAGGUAACGGCUUACCAAGGCAACGAUGCAUAGCCGACCGGAGAGGGUGAUCGGCCACACUGGAACUGAGACACGGUCCAGACUCCUACGGGAGGCAGCAGUAGGGAAUCUUCCGCAAUGGGCGAAAGCCUGACGGAGCAACGCCGCGUGAGUGAUGAAGGUCUUCGGAUCGUAAAACUCUGUUAUUAGGGAAGAACAUAUGUGUAAGUAACUGUGCACAUCUUGACGGUACCUAAUCAGAAAGCCACGGCUAACUACGUG
RNAcentral lists this ribosomal RNA (497 nucleotides) under uncultured bacterium. Its description in RNAcentral is "partial 16S ribosomal RNA". It matches the Rfam family "Bacterial small subunit ribosomal RNA", at positions 28 to 507 of the family's 1533-position model. The record is from RNAcentral.